This 569-nucleotide ribosomal RNA is filed under the name fungal sp. ARIZ B212. Its description in RNAcentral is "eukaryotic LSU rRNA". The stretch from base 190 to 343 matches the Rfam family "5.8S ribosomal RNA". The record is from RNAcentral. Lineage: Eukaryota; Fungi.
GUAACAAGGUCUCCGUUGGUGAACCAGCGGAGGGAUCAUUACCGAGUUUACAACUCCCAAACCCCUGUGAACAUACCAAUUGUUGCCUCGGCGGAUCAGCCCGCUCCCGGUAAAACGGGACGGCCCGCCAGAGGACCCCUAAACUCUGUUUCUAUAUGUAACUUCUGAGUAAAACCAUAAAUAAAUCAAAACUUUCAACAACGGAUCUCUUGGUUCUGGCAUCGAUGAAGAACGCAGCAAAAUGCGAUAAGUAAUGUGAAUUGCAGAAUUCAGUGAAUCAUCGAAUCUUUGAACGCACAUUGCGCCCGCCAGUAUUCUGGCGGGCAUGCCUGUUCGAGCGUCAUUUCAACCCUCAAGCCCUCGGGUUUGGUGUUGGGGAUCGGCGAGCCCUUGCGGCAAGCCGGCCCCGAAAUCUAGUGGCGGUCUCGCUGCAGCUUCCAUUGCGUAGUAGUAAAACCCUCGCAACUGGUACGCGGCGCGGCCAAGCCGUUAAACCCCCAACUUCUGAAUGUUGACCUCGGAUCAGGUAGGAAUACCCGCUGAACUUAAGCAUAUCAAUAAGCGGAGGA